RNAcentral lists this long non-coding RNA (620 nucleotides) under Rattus norvegicus (Norway rat). RNAcentral describes it as "long non-coding RNA NONRATT023182". The record is from RNAcentral. Lineage: Eukaryota; Metazoa; Chordata; Mammalia; Rodentia; Muridae.
UAAGGGGAGUCGGCAGCAGCCUCUGAGCGGAUCGACUCUCCUUGUUCGCCCAGCUCGCUCAGCUCCUUCCAGCAACCAUGUCUGACAAAUCCGAUAUGGCUGAGAUCGAGAAAUUCAAUAAGUCAAAGUUGAAGAAGACAGAAAUGCAAGAGAAAAAUCCUCUGCCUUCAAAAGAAACAAUUGAACAAGAGAAGCAAGCUGGCGAAUCGUAAUGAGGCGAGCGCUGCCAAUAUGCACUGCCUUCUUAUUUUACUUCUUUUAGCUGUUUAACUUCGUAAGAUGCAAAGAGGUUGGAUCAAGUUUAAAUGACUGUGCUGCCCCUUUCACAUCAAAGAAGCAGAACUGCUGACCAGGAAGGCUCCCCCGCCUCUCCCGCCCAUCUGCUGGCCUGGCUAGCAGAGAGGGAAAAGAACUUGUAUGUUGGUGAAGGAAAAAGCUGGAUGGGAGAGAUGGUGGAAUUGAGAAUAAAAUAAAGAUGGUCCAAGAUGUCUUGCAGGAUAUAAAAUGCAGUUUAAUCAGAGUGCCAUUUUUUUUUGUUCAAACGAUUUUAAUUAUUGGAAUGCACAAUUUUUAAUAUGCAAAUAAAGUUUUAAAACCUGAAAGAAAAAAAAAAGAGUUAA